Molecule: long non-coding RNA, 119 nt
Organism: Etheostoma spectabile (orangethroat darter)
Lineage: Eukaryota; Metazoa; Chordata; Actinopteri; Perciformes; Percidae
Exons: 3
Source: RefSeq, a predicted model, not a curated record
ACGUCGCUUUUCUGUUGCGCUCAUCACUCCGCCCAAGUAGCAGUGCUUCGCCUUCUGAGAAUAGUUCCCAGUUUGUAUGUGGUUAGAAGAUGGCCGUGUCUCAUGUUAUGUUGUUUUCU